GGGUGACUAGUAUAGUGGUCAGUACACUUCGUUGUGGUCUUCACAACGUCCGAAGAAACCCAGGUUCGAUUCCUGGGUCGCCCA
Non-coding RNA from Podospora conica, 84 nucleotides. NCBI's taxonomy places the organism in Eukaryota, Fungi, Ascomycota, Sordariomycetes, Sordariales, Podosporaceae. The record is from the annotation of a GenBank genome assembly.